RNAcentral lists this ribosomal RNA (435 nucleotides) under uncultured bacterium. RNAcentral's name for it is "partial 16S ribosomal RNA". It matches the Rfam family "Bacterial small subunit ribosomal RNA", at positions 29 to 507 of the family's 1533-position model. The record is from RNAcentral.
AACGAACGCUGGCGGCAUGCCUAACACAUGCAAGUCGAACGAUUGCCUUCGGGUGAUAGUGGCGCACGGGUGCGUAACGCGUGGGAAUCUGCCCUUAGGUUCGGAAUAACAGCUGGAAACGGCUGCUAAUACCGGAUGAUAUCGCGAGAUCAAAGAUUUAUCGCCUGAGGAUGAGCCCGCGUUGGAUUAGGUAGUUGGUGGGGUAAAGGCCUACCAAGCCGACGAUCCAUAGCUGGUCUGAGAGGAUGAUCAGCCGCACUGGGACUGAGACACGGCCCAGACUCCUACGGGAGGCAGCAGUGGGGAAUAUUGGACAAUGGGCGCAAGCCUGAUCCAGCAAUGCCGUGUGAGUGAUGAAGGCCCUAGGGUUGUAAAGCUCUUUUACCCGGGAAGAUAAUGACUGUACCGGGAGAAUAAGCCCCGGCUAACUCCGUG